AACGAACGCUGGCGGCAUGCCUAACACAUGCAAGUCGAACGAGACCUUCGGGUCUAGUGGCGCACGGGUGCGUAACGCGUGGGAACCUGCCCUUAGGUUCGGAAUAACUCCCCGAAAGGGGUGCUAAUAUCGGAUAAUGUCUUCGGACCAAAGAUUUAUCGCCUUUGGAUGGGCCCGCGUUGGAUUAGCUAGUUGGUAGGGUAAAAGCCUACCAAGGCGACGAUCCAUAGCUGGUCUGAGAGGAUGAUCAGCCACACUGGGACUGAGACACGGCCCAGACUCCUACGGGAGGCAGCAGUGGGGAAUAUUGGACAAUGGGCGAAAGCCUGAUCCAGCAAUGCCGCGUGAGUGAUGAAGGCCUUAGGGUUGUAAAGCUCUCUUACCCGGGAUGAUAAUGACAGUACCGGGAGAAUAAGCGCCGGCUAACUCCGUG
This 433-nucleotide ribosomal RNA is filed under the name uncultured bacterium. Its description in RNAcentral is "partial 16S ribosomal RNA". It matches the Rfam family "Bacterial small subunit ribosomal RNA", at positions 29 to 507 of the family's 1533-position model. The record is from RNAcentral.